Molecule: long non-coding RNA, 2785 nt
Organism: Mya arenaria
Lineage: Eukaryota; Metazoa; Mollusca; Bivalvia; Myida; Myidae
Exons: 5
Source: RefSeq, a predicted model, not a curated record
AACGCGAUUUUGAUCAUUGUGGCGCUAACGUGAAUAACGAGAAAAAGCGAGAAUCAAAUCGCGCACUCUUUUCCCCUUGAUUUUUCAUGGUAUUUUCGAGCUUAAAACUUAGUUAUUUGUUGUCAACAUAAAAAAACACGUCAAUUUCAGCAAUAAACCCUCUGCAACACUAUUUAUUGACGUUUAGUUGAUCAUAACCUUUUAACGUGUGUUUAAUUUACCGAAAGAGUUGGUCAGCUGUUCGGCUUUUGGACUUUGGUAACUACGUUUGUAUGACGGUAAGGUGCAAACAUUUCUGGUCGAUGAUGUGAGGCGUUUUUGAAAUAAAAACAGUAUUAUUUUAUUUUUUUGAAACGAAAGAACAUUGAUCAGAAUAUGCUUGAUCAUGAAAUGGUUGUUUAUAACCGAUAUUUGUUAACAUUCUGACAAACAACGUAGUAACCGAGACACCGUUUCCCAGUUUAUCACGAGGAACAUCCGGUGUUAAACUUCAACGUUUCUUGGUUUAAAUUGUGGAAUUGCAAGUGGUGCUGAACCAUGUAGCCAAGAUGUGCAUUACCACUACUCAUGGGAUUUUGCCCAGCAAGUCCACUAUCCACAUCAUGCCAACAAGUUGGGCCGAUAUAUUUCGCCACCCCACAGAAGUGUCAUGUGUUUCGCAUGUGUGCCUUAGGUUCAGCUAUGUUUUUAUGGAAAGUAGACAUUUUAUCUGGUGGACGAGGCCGAAUUGCCGGGGAAAGGAAGUGACAGUGUCGUGAGCCUGGCCCACCACUACUUUCAGCACUAUGGUGUCGGUGAAAAACAUGCUGAGGUUUAUUUCGAUAAUGCUGUCGGCCAAAACAAGAACAAUGCUGUGCUUUGGUAUGCCAUGUGACCUGUAAUGACAGGAUUGCAUGAGAGUGUAACACUAAACACUAUGUUGGCUGGGCACACCAAAUUUGCUCCUGACUGUCACUUCGGCAACUGGAAGGUCCAGUGGCGAUGUUGUAAUGCCGAGAAUCUUCAAGAAAUUGCCCACACUGUUUUCACCUCUUCAAAGUCCGGCCACAACAUCCCACACUUGGUUUAUGACCCUCAACAGCCAAUCACAGUUCACAGUUGGAAAUCAUUCCUAGAUACAUAUUUCAAAACUCUAAAGAAUAAUACCAAAUACCACCACUUCUAUGUAUCAAAACAUAAACCAGGAGUUGUAGUAUGCAAAGAGUUUGUAGAUUCCUCAGAAAUUGAAGUUAUUCUUUUGAGGAUGAGUCCAGAAUGUGGUGUUUUGCCUGAAAUAAAGCACGCAACGUGCCUAGAUGCUGAACGUCAAUCGUACCUUCAAUAUUCUUUUGGUCCAUUCUUUAGAUCUGAGUCAUCAAGAUCUGCAGUAUGCCCUAAACCAACUCUGUGUAAAGUCGAAGUUUACUCAUUUGUUGGUGAAAUGUCGAUUGUAGAUCAAAUGUUUGUGGCAAAUAUGAAAGAAAUGAGUAAAAAAUGGCAUUAUCACAUGUAACCAUAGCAACAGGCUGUUGUUUUAUGUAGUUCUUUUAUGUCAUUUUGUACAUAUAAUGAGCAAUGUGUACUCUUUGUGUCUAUGAAUUAGUUUAUGUGUUAGCUAUAACAGACAGUUAAGUUAGUAUUUCGGCAUGGACACUUCAUUUAAAAUAAGAACAUUUUUAGUGGACAUUGUUUUCAAACUGGCUUACCAAUGUGUAACAGAAUGAUCCAUAUCUUUUGAUUUCUUUGUACAAAAAUGACUAGAAACUUUAGUUUUUAUACCUAAGAUACUUGGUAUCAUUUACAUGCCAAUAACUUAAAACGCAUUGUAUAUUGAGAACACAUUAUUUGUGGCAGACUUUGAAAAUGAUUGGAAAUAGCAUUUUCAUUAGUAACCAUAGCAACCGAUUUUUGCUUUGACCUUCGUGGCCAAUUUCUAUGUCAUUAUAGACAUUAGCAAUGUGUACUUGCUAUUUUAAUGUUGAAGUUAAUGUAACACUAGUAAAGAUAAGUGAUAUAUUUAAACAGGUAUCUUGACAUAUAUAUAAUAUUUAAAAUAAGAACAGUUUUGUUCACAUUGUUUUUUAUCCCUGUGUUUCAUAAUGUUUCAUAUGUUUUAUAACUUUUGUGAAAUUUAACGUGAAACUUUAGAGUUAAUUUCUGUAAAUACUUAGUAUCAUAAAGAUGUCAAUAACUUAUAAAUAAAAAAAAAUUAUGCGGACUUUCAAAAAUGAUUGGUAAUAGCAUUUUCAUAAGUAACCAUAGCAACUGAAUUUUGCUUUGACCUUUGUUGUAAGUUUCUUUAUCAUUAUGGACAUUAGCAAUGUGUACUUGUUUUUUUCCUUUUGUAGUGAAUGUGAUACUAGUAAAGAUAGUUUUAUAUUUUAAUAUUUUGACUUGUGUACUUCAUUCAAAAUAAGAACAGAUUUAGCGAACAUUUCGUUCAAAUUGUGUUAAAGCUCUCUGUUACGAAAUGUUCCAUAUCCAUUGUUGUUUUUUUAAUAUUUGACUGACUAGUUCAGAUUUUAUUUCUGCAAUUGCUUGGUAUCAUAAAAAUGUCAAUAACUUAAAACACAACUUUAUGAAAAACAUUAUUUUUUGAGAAACAUUUAGAAAAUGAGUGAAAAUGGCAUUAUCAAUAGUUACCAUAGCAACCAAAUGCACUUAUGAACUUUUCGUUUACUUUUGUAAUCAAACUAUGAGUGCUUAUUGUUUCUAUGCUAAAACUUAUAUGUUACAUGUAAAUAGUCCUUGACAUGAUACUUAUCUGACAUGGAUAUUUCAUUCUAAAUAAACACAUUAGACCAUA